CCUACGGGUGGCUGCAGUGAGGAAUAUUGGUCAAUGGGCGGGAGCCUGAACCAGCCAAGUCGCGUGAGGGACGACGGUCCUAUGGAUUGUAAACCUCUUUUGUCGGGGAACAAAGGCGCCCACGGGUGGGCGGAUGAGUGUACCCGAAGAAAAAGCAUCGGCUAACUACGUGCCAGCAGCCGCGGUAAUACGGAGGGGGCAAGCGUUAUCCGGAUUUACUGGGUGUAAAGGGGGCGCAGACGGCAAUGCAAGCCAGGAGUGAAAGCCCGGGGCCCAACCCCGGGACUGCUCUUGGAACUGCAUGGCUGGAGUACAGGAGGGGCAGGCGGAAUUCCUAGUGUAGCGGUGAAAUGCGUAGAUAUUAGGAGGAACACCGGUGGCGAAGGCGGCCUGCUGGACUGUGACUGACGUUGAGGCCCGAAGGCGUGGGGAGCAAACAGGAUUAGAUACCCGAGUAGUC
This 460-nucleotide ribosomal RNA is filed under the name uncultured bacterium. RNAcentral describes it as "partial 16S ribosomal RNA". It matches the Rfam family "Bacterial small subunit ribosomal RNA", at positions 338 to 795 of the family's 1533-position model. The record is from RNAcentral.